AUUGCCCUAGUAACGGCGAGUGAAGCGGCAACAGCUCAAAUUUGAAAUCUGGCCCUCGGGUCCGAGUUGUAAUUUGUAGAGGAUGCUUUUGGUGCGGUGCCUUCCGAGUUCCCUGGAACGGGACGCCAUAGAGGGUGAGAGCCCCGUCUGGUCGGAUACCAAUCCUCUGUAAAGCUCCUUCGACGAGUCGAGUAGUUUGGGAAUGCUGCUCUAAAUGGGAGGUAUAUGUCUUCUAAAGCUAAAUAUUGGCCAGAGACCGAUAGCGCACAAGUAGAGUGAUCGAAAGAUGAAAAGCACUUUGAAAAGAGGGUUAAACAGUACGUGAAAUUGUUGAAAGGGAAGCGCUUGUGACCAGACUUGGGCCCGGUUAAUCAUCCAGCGUUCUCGCUGGUGCACUUGGCCGGCCCAGGCCAGCAUCAGUUCGGCGCGGGGGACAAAGGCUUCGGGAAUGUGGCUCCCCCGGGAGUGUUAUAGCCCGUUGCGUAAUACCCUGCGCUGGACUGAGGUUCGCGCAUCUGCAAGGAUGCUGGCGUAAUGGUCAUCAGCGACCCGUCUUGAAACACGGACCAAGGAGUCGUCUUCGUAUGCGAGUGUUCGGGUGUCAAACCCCUACGCGUAAUGAAAGUGAACGCAGGUGAGAGCUUCGGCGCAUCAUCGACCGAUCCUGAUGUUCUCGGAUGGAUUUGAGUAGGAGCAUACGGGGCCGGACCCGAAAGAAGGUGAACUAUGCCUGUAUAGGGUGAAGCCAGAGGAAACUCUGGUGGAGGCUCGCAGCGGUUCUGACGUGCAAAUCGAUCGUCAAAUAUGGGCAUGGGGGCGAAAGACUAAU
This 829-nucleotide ribosomal RNA is filed under the name Fusicolla filiformis. RNAcentral describes it as "partial large subunit ribosomal RNA". It matches the Rfam family "Eukaryotic large subunit ribosomal RNA", at positions 74 to 935 of the family's 3401-position model. Lineage: Eukaryota; Fungi; Ascomycota; Sordariomycetes; Hypocreales; Nectriaceae. The record is from RNAcentral.